AACCUUGAAUGUGUCCAAACUUUUGACGGCUACUGUAUAUACUAGGUGGUGUCAGAGGGAGGCCCCAAAGAUUGUCCAAGACUCCAGUCACCCAAGUCAUAGACUGUUCUCUCUCCUACCACACGGCAAUCGGUACCGGAGCACCAAAUCUAGGUCCAAGAGGCCCCUUAACAGCUUCUACCCCCAAGCCAUAUGACUGCUGCGCAAUUAAUCAAAUGGCCACCCGGACUAUUUAUAUUGACCCCCCCUCCUGUUUUUACAUUGCUGCUGCCAACUGUUUAUUAUCUAUGCAUAGUCACCUGCAUGCACAAAUUACAUCGACUAACCAGUACCCUCGCACAUUGACUCGGUAACCCCUGUAUAAAGCAUCUUGUUAUUGUUAUUUUAUUUUUUACUUCAGUUUAUUUAGUAAAUCUUUUCUUAACCUUAUUUCUUGACCUGCAUUGUUGGAUCAGGGCUUGUAAGUAAGCAUUUCACUGUAAGUUCUACACCUGUUGUUGUCGGCACGUGACAAAUACAAUUUGAUUUGAUGUACAUCUUCAAUCAGCUGAUAUCUCAAAGUGCUGUAAAGAAACCCAGCCUAAAACCCCAAACAGCAAGCAAUGCAGGUGUAGAAGCACGGUGGCUAUGAAAAACUCCCUAGAAAGGCCAAAACCUAGGAAGAAACCUAGAGAGGAACCAGGCUAUGAGGGCUGGCCAGUCCUCUUCUGGCUGUGCCGGGUGGAAAUUUUUAACAGAACAUGGCCAAGAUGUUCAAAUGUUCAUAAAUUACCAGCAUGGUUAAAUAAUAAUAAUCACAGUAGUUGUCAAGGGUGCAGAAAGUCAACACCUCAGGAGUAAAUGUCAGUUGGCUUUUCAUAGCCGAUCAUUAAGAGUAUCUCUACCGCUCUUGCUGUCACUAGAGAGUUGAAAACAGCAAGUCUGGGACAGGUAGCACGUCCGGUGAACAGGUCAGGGUUCCAUAGCCGCAGGCAGAACAGUUGAAACUGCAGCAGCAGCACGGCCAGGUGGACUGGGGACAGCAAGGAGUUAUCAUGCCAGGUAGUCCUGAGGCAUGGUCCUAGGGCUCAGGUCCUCCGAGAGAGAGAAAGAAGAGAGAGAGAGAGAGAAUUAGAGAGAGCAUACUUAAAUUCAUACAAGACACUAGAAAAGACACAAGAAGUACUCCAGAUAUAACAGACUGAUCCUAGCCCCCCGACACAUAAACUACUGAAGCAUUAAUACUGGAGGCUGAGACAGGUAGGGGUCUGGAGACACUGUGGCCCCAUCCGAUGAUACCCCCGGACAGGGCCAAACAGGCAGGAUAUAACCCCACCCACUUUGCCAAAGCACAGCCCCCACACCACUAGAGGGAUAUCUUCAACCACCAACUUACCAUCCUGAGACAAGGCAGAGUAUAGCCCACAAAGAUCUCUGCAUACGGUACAACCCAGACGGGGUGCCAACCCAGACAGGAAGAUCACGUCAGUGACUCAACCCACUCAAGUGACGCACCCCUCCUAGGGACGGCAUGGAAGAGCACCAGUAAGCCAGUGACUCAGCCCCUGUAAUAGGGUUAGAGUCAGAGAAGGGAACCGGCCAGGCAGAGACAGCAAGGGCAGUUAGUUGCUCCAGAGCCUUUCCGUUCACCUUCACACUCCUGGGCCAGACUACACUCAAUCAUAGGACCUACUGAAGAGCUGAAUCUUCAGUAAAGACUUAAAGGUUGAGACCGAGUCUGUGUCUCUCACAUGUGUAGGCAGACCAUUCCAUAAAAAAUUGAGCUCUAUAGGAGAAAGCCCUACCUCCAGCUGUUUGCUUAGAAAUUCUAGGGACAAUUAGGAGGCCUGCGUCUUGUGAACGUAGCGUACGUGUAGGUAUGUACGACAGGAAAGAUUAGGUAGGAGCAAGCCCAUGUAAUGCUUUGUGGGUUAGCAGUAAAACCUUGAAAUCAGCCCUUGCCUUAACAGGAAGCCAGUGUAGGGAGGCUAGCACUGGAGUAAUAUGAUCAAAUAUUUUGGUUCUAGUCAGGAUUCUAGCAGCCGUAUUUAGCACUAACUGAAGAUUAUUUAGUGCUUUAUCCAGGUAGCCGGAAAGUAGAGAAUUGCAGUAGUCUAACCUAGAAGUGACAAAAGCAUGGAUACAUUUUUCUGCAUCAUUUUUGGACAGAAAAUGUCUGAUAUUUGCAAUGUUACGUAGAUGGAAAAAAGCUGUCCUUGAAACAGUCUUGAUAUGUUCGUCAAAAGAGAGAUCAGGGUCCAGAGUAACGCCGGAGGACCUUCACAGCUUUAUUUGAAAUGACUGUACAACCAUCAAGAUGAAUUGUCACAUUCAACAGAAGAUCUCUUUGUUUCUUGGGACCUAGAACAAGCAUCUCUGUUUUGUCCGAGUUUAAAAGUAGAACGUUUUGCAGCCAUCCACUUCCUUUUGUCUGAAACACAGGCUUCUAGCAAGGGCAAUUUUGGGGCUUCACCAUGUUUCAUUGAAAUGUACAGCUGUGUGUCAUCCGCAUAGCAGUGAAAGUUAGCAUUAUGUUUUCGAAUUACAUCCCCAAGAUGUAAAAUAUAUAGUGAAAACAAUAGUGGUCCUAAAACGGAACCUCGAGGAACACCGAAAUUUACAGUUGAUUUGUCAGAGGACAAACCAUUCACAGAGACAAACUGAUAUCUUUCCGACAGAUAAGAUCUAGCCAGGCCAGAACUUGUCCGUGUAGACCGAUUUGGGUUUCCAAUCUCUCCAAAAGAAUGUGGUGAUCGAUGGUAUCAAAAGCAGCACUAAGGUCCAGGAGCACGAGAACAGAUGCAAAGCCUCGGUCUGACGCCAUUAAAAGACCUAGCCAGGCCCCCUGUCACUCAAGGAGCGCAUUUGAUGUCCCUCAACCACGAGACACUUGUUUUCAGUCUGCUUGGUCAAUGCAGCACAUGCAACAAUGUUGAUGACAAUGAUGCUGUUUUCACUUUGCUUCUUUAUAUAAAUCCACUAGCGUUCUAUAAUGACACUAUUAGUUUGUGUUUCUUAAAUCAGCAAACAGCUAGUUUGUCUUUUCUUAGCAAGUUUCCCUAAAUCUUGUGAGAUGCUAAUGCUAAUAGCUUGCAACCUAGCUAAUAAAUGUACUGAUAAGAGCAAACGUAGCUAGCUAAUACAGCCUGAUAAUACCGGUGGUGGUGUAAACCUAAAUCAGCAUGUUGUUUGUGCAACCGUGUCUUCUAAAUCAACAUAUUCUUGCUUUGCAUAUUCCUCUUUAUCUACAUGAAGUAUCUAAGAGAAAACAUGCAAUGUAGCCAAAGCUUAUAGUGUCCUCUAGGAAACACUUAUCGACACUUUAGUUCCUACCCUGUCACAAUAACUCCUCCUUGCAUUUUAAUUCGUUGUCAUCUCAAACAACUCUGUAUUCAAAGUGCCCACUAUUAUAUUCUAACUAUAUAAUAAGAAUAGUCAUUAUAUUUCCAUUUUUUCCAACAGUUUUGCUCUAAUUUGCAAGUCAAAUCGCAAUUGCAACAUUUGGUUAAAAAUAAGUGCUAGAUUGUUUGCCCAUAUCGUACAGCCCUACGUGGCAGUGUGGAAAUUAUCUCAAUUGAGCAGUGGUGUAAAGUAAUUAAGUAAAAAUACUUUAACGUACUACUUAAGUCUUUUUUUUGUUAUCUGUACUUUACUUUACUAUUUUUCUUUUUGAUAACUUUUACUUCACUACAUUCCUAAUGAAAAUACUAUACUAUUUACUCCACACAUUUUCCCUGACACCUAAAAGUACUCGUUACAUUUUGAAUGCUUAGCAGGACAGGAAAAUGGUCCAAUUCACGCACUUGUCAAGAGGACAUCCCUGGUCAUCUACUUCCUCUGAUCUGGAGGACUCACUAAACACAAAUGCUUUGUUUGUAAAUUAUGUCUGAGUGUUGGAGUGUGUCAUCCGUAAAUAAAAAAUAAAAUGGUGCCA
This is a long non-coding RNA of Oncorhynchus nerka (sockeye salmon), 3913 nucleotides long. RefSeq lists it as uncharacterized. The record is from RefSeq and is a predicted model, not a curated record. NCBI's taxonomy places the organism in Eukaryota, Metazoa, Chordata, Actinopteri, Salmoniformes, Salmonidae. The transcript is spliced from 2 exons.